UGGGGUACAGCUCAGUUGGUAGAGUGCUUGCUUCGCAUGCACAAGGGCCUGGGUUCCGUCCCCAGCACCACAC
Molecule: transfer RNA, 73 nt
Filed under: Marmota monax (woodchuck)
Lineage: Eukaryota; Metazoa; Chordata; Mammalia; Rodentia; Sciuridae
Description: tRNA.Ala
Source: RNAcentral